Molecule: ribosomal RNA, 460 nt
Filed under: uncultured bacterium
Lineage: Bacteria
Description: partial 16S ribosomal RNA
Rfam family: Bacterial small subunit ribosomal RNA
Source: RNAcentral
CCUACGGGAGGCAGCAGUGAGGAAUAUUGGUCAAUGGGCGAGAGCCUGAACCAGCCAAGUAGCGUGAAGGAUGACUGCCCUAGGGGUUGUAAACUUCUUUUAUAUAGGAAUAAAAUGUUCCACGUGUGGGAUUUUGUAUGUACGAUAUGAAUAAGGAUCGGCUAACUCCGUGCCAGCAGCCGCGGUAAUACGGAGGGUUCGAGCGUUAUCCGGAUUUAUUGGGUUUAAAGGGAGCGUAGGUGGAGUGUUAAGUCAGUUGUGAAAGUUUGCGGCUCAACCGUAAAAUUGCAGUUGAUACUGGGAGUCUUGAGUACAGUAGAGGUGGGCGGAAUUCGUGGUGUAGCGGUGAAAUGCUUAGAUAUCACGAAGAACUCCGAUUGCGAAGGCAGCUCACUGGACUGCAACUGACACUGAGGCUCGAAAGUGUGGGUAUCAAACAGGAUUAGAUACCCGGGUAGUC